This is a long non-coding RNA of Orbicella faveolata, 950 nucleotides long. RefSeq lists it as uncharacterized. Lineage: Eukaryota; Metazoa; Cnidaria; Anthozoa; Scleractinia; Merulinidae. The record is from RefSeq and is a predicted model, not a curated record.
AAAAAUAGUUCCAUGCACGUCGCGAACGUCCAAGUGACAGUUUAAUGAUAGCUGAGGAAACCGCACGACUUAUUCUUUGAGGACCAUUGUGAUAUCCAAAUCCUGCUUGGGAGGACAUCACUUCUACAUAGGAACGAGUGCAAGAAGCAUCUCUGAGAAACUUGCUGAUAACGUCGAAGCAUUGCGGAGAAACACAACAUGAAGACAAUAACUUGUCUGGUGCUUGCAGUCAUCUUGUUGUCCUUCAUUGCAGAAAAUGGUGACGGAAAAAUAACUAUUUUACAUGAAGGCCGCGUUAGUGGGAAACCAAGAAGAAAAAGUCGGAGACAGACAGUGAGAAAGAGGCCAAGCACAACAGCAAAUGAGGACAAUGGCAGUACUAUUCAGGAUAGACGACGGCCAGUGAAAUACAACAGAUGGCACGAGUCCCCACACUGGAUGACUUAGUAACUUUGAAACACUGUUCACCUCAGAAACAAAGCGGACAAGAUACUGUUAUUGACUAUGUUUUCUUUAUUUUCGGUUUACAUUAGGUGCAACAGCUAAAGACAUUUUAAAUUCAGCCAAACACUAAGAGAAAAGAACCAAUUUAGAUAAAAUCAUGUGCAGGCCGCGAUGUGAAGUUGAACACCUCUGGACACUUUUCGGGAGCUGUUAUAGAGCUUUUUAGAGGUUAGUGCUUACUUUUAGAAUAAACCUUACCGAUGUAAGAGGAUUAAUUCGCAAGUAACACCAGGCCGGAAGCAGAGAGAAUUUUUGAAAAGACGUACAACAGUUCUAUUGAACAUUCAGUGUUAAAUACAGUUUUGAUAGAAAUGAACGAUACAUCACCUGGCAGAUUUAUGCUCGCAGCUUUAUCUUGUUUAUAGUUCUCUUGUAAUAUUAGAAAAAGCCAUUUAUUAAUGUAAAUAAAAUAUCAACAUCUAAAGUGUUGAAGUUCUCAAUGGUCA